Molecule: long non-coding RNA, 565 nt
Filed under: Cricetulus griseus (Chinese hamster)
Lineage: Eukaryota; Metazoa; Chordata; Mammalia; Rodentia; Cricetidae
Description: lncRNA (ENSCGRG00000025254.1)
Source: RNAcentral
AGACCUUCUAUGUGUUUCUUUGUCUCUUUCUCUUUACUAUAGCCUCAUAUCCAUCGUGGCUCAUUUCCUGCUUAGUGCUCUGCCCAUCUGGCCAUUGCAACCCACACCCCAAGUCUCCAUGAAAAAGGAUCACAAAUCUAACAACAGACAUUCAAAACUAACUUUGCAAAAGAUGCUGUCUCUUGCCCUAAAAGCAGCCUUAUGCCUAGUGCUUGACUAACAACUACACCAAAUGUGCAGGAACUAAACACCUUGGGUUCUUCGUCAUGUCAAGAGACAAAAAAUAGAGACUACUAUGUAGAUCCUGUACCACUAUUUCAUUUGUGUAACCACUUAAAAUGUAUCUUUUAAAAUAACAAUAGAAUUAUAGAUGCAGAUGAUGCAAUGAGUAAAAUGACACAAUGCAGACACCAGGCUGAACUUGGCUCCUUGUCUGUAGUUCACUGAAACCGGGUUUCACAUUCACAUAGCUCAAUCUGAAGAAGCUAGUACUUCUGAGGGGAAGACGCCGGAGACCAUUUUGUACAUACCCCAGUAAUAAACAGUAUAACUCACGAAAAAAUAA